Molecule: ribosomal RNA, 441 nt
Filed under: uncultured bacterium
Lineage: Bacteria
Description: partial 16S ribosomal RNA
Rfam family: Bacterial small subunit ribosomal RNA
Source: RNAcentral
CCUACGGGAGGCAGCAGUGGGGAAUAUUGCACAAUGGGGGAAACCCUGAUGCAGCGACGCCGCGUGGGUGAAGAAGUAUUUCGGUAUGUAAAGCUCUAUCAGCAGGGAAGAAAAAUGACGGUACCUGACUAAGAAGCACCGGCUAAAUACGUGCCAGCAGCAGCGGUCAUACGUAUGGUGCAAGCGUUAUCCGGAUUUACUGGGUGUAAAGGGAGCGCAGGCGGCACGCUAAGCCUGAUGUGAAAACCAGCGGCCCAACCGCGGGAGUGCAGUGGGAACUGGCGAGCUGGAGUACCGGAGGGGCAGGCGGAAUUCCUAGUGUAGCGGUGAAAUGCGUAGAUAUUAGGAGGAACACCAGUGGCGAAGGCGGCCUGCUGGACGGAGACUGACGCUGAGGCUCGAAAGCGUGGGGAUCAAACAGGAUUAGAUACCCGGGUAGUC